UUUUCCCUUGUUAUCUGUUAGGCUCUGACUUGACCUGCAGGAGAGGGAGACCGUCUCUCCCAGGGUGACAGGCAGGGAGAGUGGAGUCUGAGUCAUUAUAAUAU
This is a long non-coding RNA of Dipodomys ordii (Ord's kangaroo rat), 104 nucleotides long. RefSeq lists it as uncharacterized. NCBI's taxonomy places the organism in Eukaryota, Metazoa, Chordata, Mammalia, Rodentia, Heteromyidae. The record is from RefSeq and is a predicted model, not a curated record. The transcript is spliced from 3 exons.